Long non-coding RNA from Anolis carolinensis (green anole), 332 nucleotides. RefSeq lists it as uncharacterized. The transcript is spliced from 2 exons. NCBI's taxonomy places the organism in Eukaryota, Metazoa, Chordata, Lepidosauria, Squamata, Anolidae. The record is from RefSeq and is a predicted model, not a curated record.
UGGGCUGGGAGGGAGGGAGAGAGAGUCGCCAGCUUGGGAAGCGAAGCCAUGGGCGGGAAUCCAGAUGAUUAAGCUUGGAACAAAUGACACCCAGUUCUCCUCUCCCAGCAAUCCUUCUGCUUACCUGAUUCAGUUCCACUCCAUCACAAAAGGGAAGAAACAACUGAGGAUUCAGCAACAACAUCAUGUCAGCUCCUGGGAGAAAGAGCAAGGGUGGGAAAGCUGAUCACAUAAACAUGUCUCAGAGGUUACAAUUACAGUCACUUGGUCCGUUACCGUUCUGUCAAGAUUAGACAGUAAAUAAAUGCAGCACCAAUUUAGGGUUCUUUGUG